This 39327-nucleotide long non-coding RNA is filed under the name Lupinus angustifolius (narrow-leaved blue lupine). Its description in RNAcentral is "long non-coding RNA (LANG_LNC002746)". The record is from RNAcentral. Lineage: Eukaryota; Viridiplantae; Streptophyta; Magnoliopsida; Fabales; Fabaceae.
UCAAUAUAUCUCCUCAUUUUUGGAUAAGAAACUAAUCUCUUUCGAGGUGUGUGGUUGCCUUUCCAAAUAAAUGUUGCUCUUAGGAAUCAAACUCUUAUCAUUUCGGUCAUUCUAGAAAUCUAGUAGGGUCUUACAUCACUAUAUUAACAAGUUGUUGGUAUACAAUGAUGUUAAUUAGAAGAAGGUGAUGUUGCCAUCUAUGAUAGUAGUAGGUGAAGACAAGCACAAGUGUUUGAUGAUAAAAAAAUGGUGGCGGGUUCAAAUGAGAAUGAUUGUACUGCAUGCAUGUUAAGGUACAAGAUCAUCAUUUUAGGUCUUCUCAUCACUUUGUCCAUUUUGGUGUUGCCAUUGGUAUUGCCUCCUCUUCCAGCACCACCUUUGAUUCUUCUUCUUGUUCCCGUUUUCAUCAUGUUCCUUCUCUUUCUCUUGGCCUUUUUACCUUCCUCCCUUCCCAACAUGUCUGCCUUUGGUUCUUGACGUGUGUAACAUGUAAAUUUGGAAAUGAAUAAUAAGCAAUGAAAUGUAAUGAGUUUAUAUCUUUCUAUGUAUUAAGAGUUACUUUGUUCAUACCUUGAGUUUUUCUUCAAUUAAUUAAAUAUCUUUGUCUUCCUCCUAUAAGAUCUAAUGAUAUACUAAUAUACUUAAUUAUUUUUUUCAAGUAGAAGUAACCAAGAGUUGUUGAAUUUCACCAUUACCUUGUAUUUACAUGCAAAAUCUUAGUGGUAGUGCGGUUUAAUUCACUUUUAUGUGUAGUUGCUCCUUCUAACUAAAGAUUGAGUGAGAUUUUAGACUAUUGUAUCAAUUUCUUAGUUCAAUUCAUAACCUUUAGUAUAUGAGGUAAUAACUUGAAAAUUCUACCCCCAUUAAAAUUAUAUUAAAUUGGAAUCGACAUAUUAUGAUCAUUAGUGUCUGCCCCAUAGGUUGUCUAGGUAAAACAGAAACACAAGCAUGCACUCACCACAGCCAUAUCCACUAAACUUUUCCCUAAACCAUGCAGCAUGAGGGUGUUCCUACCAACACAUUCAUGGGUACCAUCCCUAUGCCACAUCAGCCAUUUUCCUUGAAUCAUGAUUAAAAAAAGUAGAAAACAAAGACAGGAUUCUCUUAUAUCCACACCUUUCAUUCAAUAAAUCAACCCCACACUCCCCUUCUCCACAUUUAGACCCACCGUUGGCGGAAUCAUUACUUGUUCAUAUGAUGAUUUUAAGGCUUUUGGUCAUGAUUCAUGAAUCAAAAGAAUAAAUCCCUUUUUCAAUUCAAAUGGGUUUUCAAAAAAAUCUAAGUGUUGUUUGUUUAUAAGCAAAAUGAGUUACGAAGAGUAAAAUGGGUACUACAAGGAAAAUCGGUUUUAAAUCUAUCGACUUUUAUUAAUUCUUUAGAAACAUUAAGUAAAUUGGAAUAAUACUUGUUCCCCUAAUAUUCUAUUUUAAUAUUAGUAAAUUUCAAUUGCUAAAAGAUAUUAAAAAAGCUAACGGUAGGAAUAAUAUAGUAUUAUUCCUCAUCAAUCAGUAAGAGCAAACCAAUGCAUUUCACGCAAUUAGGCCAACCAUUUUACCAAGGUUUUGAAAUUAGGUUUAUGUUUUGAUAGACGAUGUCACAAUAUUAAGGUUCAAGGAGUCAUUGAAACUAUAUCAUGAUCACAGUGACUACAUUGUUCUCAUUUGCCGUGAUAAUUCAAAACUUAAGAUUUUUGAAGUAUAUGAUAGUCUAGGGGCAGGGGUGGAUCUUCCCUACAGCAGGUUGGGGCAACUGCCCCUCUCGAAUAUUUUUAAAAAUUAUAAUAUAAUAUUUCAUUGGUAUAUUUCAAAAUUCAAGAACAAAAGUAUAAUAUAUAUAUAUAUAUAUAUAUAUAUAUAUAUAUAACUUUGUCAUGAAGUGAUAUUGUAUAAAACUCAUACGUUGUUAGUGCAUAAAUUUUUUCUCCAAGAACAAUAUUUCUACACGACUUAUAGCACAAAAAAAAAUCAUUAGUCUCUUUAAACCUCUCACCCUCUAUGAAGCUUCACUCUCUUGAGCAUCACAUGAAACAUUUCCAUCCCAUGUCUGUCUGUCAUAUAGCUCCUGAUAACUCUCCAACUCAAACCUCAUUUAUUUUUCACCUUAAAAAUGUCAUAUUUACUCUUUGUAAUUUAUAUAUUAGGUUUCUUCAAUUGCUUUUUCCAUAGGCAUAUUAUCAUAUGCCUAUGAAAUAAUGACAUAAUUACUUACGAUUUGUUUGUUUCUUACAUCAAAUUUCAUUCAUUGAUGUUGUCAUUCUUUGCUAGUGAAUUAUUUUAUGAUUGACUAAUUUUAGUGGGGCUACUUCAUUCUCUAUAUUGCUCUUAAUUUUGUUAUCUCUUUAUAACUAUAAUUUUAUUUAAAAAAAUAUUUUUAUCAAUCUCAAAUAUACAUUAUUUUGAUUCUCUAUUUGAGAUGAUAGAAAAACUAACUUUAUGCUCAAAUUUUUAUUCUUCUGAGUUUAAGAUACAUAUAAUAUUUAUAAGAGAUAAGAAACUUAUUUGUGCUUAGGAAUAUUUGAAAUUUUUUAUAGAUUUAUUAUUUUAAAUUUUCUAUUAUAUUUAUUGGGAAUUUAAACAUAAGAAAAUACAUCAUUUUUACAUUUAAAAUUUAUAUAUAUUCUAAUGAUUCCAUAUAUUAUUUAUGUACAAAUUAUAUCUUUGCCCCCUCUAAAGUUGUGGUCAAGAUCUAUCAGUGUCUAGGGGUGAACAUGAUCCAAUCUUAUAUGCUCACCAAGUUUGACCCUAUUAUGAUUUGACCCAAAUAUGAUAGGUUUCAUCAAAUCUAGAAUUGAGUUCAGGUCCAGGACAUACGUGGUAAAGUCUGGUUAUCUCAUUCAAGCUUAUCUGAAUAUGUUGGAUUUAUGUAAUAUCUUAUCUAAAUCUUGGACUAAUUGUAUUCCAAUAAAAAUAUGUUGCUUUAUUUAGAAACUUAUUCGGAUGAGACUACCCAUAAUGGAUGAGCUUUUUAAAAGACAUGUCAUUCUUAGCAUUGCUGAAAUAAUGUAUGCACUUUGCAACAUUCAAGAUGAAACUAUAGAGCACCUUUUUUUAUCGUGUGAAUUUGCUUCUUCUGUCUGGAAAGGUGUUUAUUCUUGGUUACAAGUAUUUGUGCCAAACCCUUCAUCUAUUAUUGAAUCUUUGAAUAUGCAUGAUGCCCUUGUUCCUAAGGGGGAAAGAAUGAAGAUAUGGAGGAUGUUAUGGUUUACUGUUAUAUGGUAUAUCUGGAUUAUGAGAUUUAAUGUAAUUUUUUCAUAUAAGACUAUGAGUUUUGUUCACAUCAUGGAUUUGAUCUGGGCUAAAUCUUGGUGUUGGUUUCAAGCAAAGAUUGCUCAUUCGUCUUUAGAGUUUGUUAAUUGAUGUAACAAUCCUAAAUGUUACAUUUAUAUUUCCUCUAAAACGAUCAUUCUAUAAUCUUUCUUCUUAUAUUGAGUUAGCACCCCUUGUGCUUAUUUAAUACAUACUUUGCUUAUAAAAAAUAGAUAUAUAGAAUAUUUAGAUUUGUGUAAUGGACAAAUAUAACCCGACUCGGCUCAUGGUUAUUCAUUUAUCAUGUUUAAACGUGUCUAUUUAAUUAUGUAAAAAAUAAUGACUUCUAUUUAAAUCAAAGUAGAUAGGACAUUUUUGUUGUAACAAUUUAUCAAUUAAUAUAAUUUCAUACUUUUAAUCGUGUUUUUAAUUGUUUUUGCUAGUUAUUUAGGAACUUUUGAAUAAAUGUUUUAUUGCGACAAUAUGUAUAUCUUUUCAUAUAAUAUUGAUUUUCUAAUUCUUUUAUCAUAUGUCGAAUUACAUAUGCAUACCAAUAAGUAAUAUUAUUAAGAAUUUACCUAAUAAAAUAAGCAUUAUUUUUAAUCGAGUAUAAGGCCUAGUUCGAGUUCAAAAGCUAGCAAGGUCAACAUUUGUGAUUGGGUUCAAAAGUUUAAAAAAAUAACUAUCGACAUUUAGGGGCGAUUAAGAGACAUAUCCUACUUAACUUAUGUUCGCCGUGAUACUACACCCAUAACCACUAUUUAAAACCUUCUUUUAUGCCCUUUUCAUGUAAAAGACCUACAUGUUGGACAAAGUAAUUACACUUUGCUUAUGCAUUUAGUUUGAUCUUGUGUAUGUAACCACAUUGCUCAAAAUGGGGGAGUACCAUAUUUCAAGGAGUCACGUUUUUUUUGGGGGAGAUUAUUGGGAAUUUCAGGUGUAGGUUAUUUGGUGAAAAAUCACAUAUAGUUAAUUAUGAAUAAUUUGAUAACAUUGUAAAUAUAAUUUAAAAUCUAUGCGUGUAAAAAAAAUUUCAUUGUCGGAAUAUCAUCCACAUUAAUUUGUACUAUUUUUAUUUAAAAAUUAAUUAUAAUAAUAUAUGAACGGUGAAUAAUUUGUUGACAGUGUAAAAAAUACUUAUACUAUAUGUAUUUACAUAUUAAAUUAUUAUAAGUAAUUGAUCGAAUAACUAAAUGUUUUAAAGUUUGAGGUCCAACUAUAGUGUUAGAUCCGCUCACUAUGAUGUUUCUUUAUUAUUUGACUCAUUAUGAGUACAACUUUUGGGCUCCUCAAUCCUAAUGCAAUUUGAAUCAUUUAAAACCAAGCUAAAAGUAUAACUCUUAUAUAUGAUACUUAUUCUCGGUAUAUCAGUAUUAUUAAAUUCGAACGGAUUAAUAACUCGGUCAGGUACUGAGUUAAUAAAUCAUUGGUUGAACUAGUAGGUUAAUGGUUGAACCGAUUAACUCGGUUUGUAUUAAAAAUUCUAAAAAAUUCAUAAUAUUACGUAACAAUAUUUAAUAGUUGUAUAUUCAAAAUUUAAAAACAUUAUAAUGCUUAAUCAAACAACAACAAAAGAACAUUUUACUACUAUAAAAUAACACAAGUAAGUUGAUAACGUCAUCAAACAACGUAUGAACUAUGUUUUAACUACAACAAAGACAUACAAUAAGUUUAAAAUUUAAUUAAACAAUGAAGAUUUUGUUAUAAUGUAAACUAACAAAUGACAAACAUAACAAAUAAGUUAAAAGUACUUAUUAAAAUGACAUCGAUUUGACUGUUUUUAAAAAAAUAUUUUUUGAUUGACUCGGCCGGUCCAACCGGUCCGACCACCCAAGUCACUAGUUUUAGGCUUAAACUGAUCGAGUCAACCUAAUUUGAUACAAAACCGGUUAGAUGAGAUGCUCGAACCAGUUAGAUGUCCAAUUAAUGGUUAAACCAGUCAGACUGGCCGGUUCGAACCGAAUUUUAUAACACUCCUAUACACGAAAUAACUGAAAUAAUAUGUAACUGUUAAUUCAAAUUUUAGAUUUUAGAAAACAUUUAUAGUACAAAAAUGUAUAUAAAGUAUACUUCUUUUUUAUAUUAUGAAAGGGCUCAUAAAAAAAGUUUGAUUAAAAAUAAAUAAAGAACGUUAACCACUAGUGCCUAUAGUUUACCUAAUAUCAUAUUUAGUUUAGCAAUACAAUUACAUUAAAUUUAAUCCCAAUGUAUUUCAAAAUAUUUACCUUUGAAACAUGUUCUUCUGGCUUUUAAAUAUUAAGGGAUUAUUGAACACUUUCCCAUAUAACAUCAUGAAUGACAAAUUAGAUAAUACAAUUCAUUUUUUAUAUGAGAUUAAAAAAUUUAUAUAAGACUAGCUAACCUUCUUAUUAAAUGUUUUAAUCAUUUUGGUUAUAUUUGAUCCGGAAGUAAAUUUUAGUCUUGAAAUUGCAAAAAAAAAAACAAUAAAAUUUGUCUCUUUAGUUAUAUAUAAAGAUGUUUAAACUUUAAACACAGGGUCAAGGGUAUCUUAGAUUUCAUGAAAAAGAUAAACACGGCGUUAGUAUGAGUUUAAAUAUCUUUUCUUGGCCCACGGUUUCCUCUAAUUCUUUGGUUAACCGUUUCAUUACCACUUUUCAUGUAUUGCAUACCAUUGGCAUAAGCAUCUUUAGUAACAUGGAUUGGUGCAUGCAUCCAUUAAUUCUUCCCCCUUAAACUAAUUACCUUCAAUAAUUUGAUAUUUUCAUUAAUGACCAAUUUGAGGUUCUAGUUGUUAUGUAAACAGCCUUUAUUAGCUUAGGCUUUAUUAGCUUAGCUGGUAACCCUCAAGUAUGACACUUAAGCAUAGGGCAUAGGACAUAGGACAUUCAUCUUUGGAAUAUAGGCACUAGGUAGCACGCUUCACAUGCGCAAGGAAACAAAAAUCAACUCAAAUUAACUUAGCUUUGUCUAUGUACUAGUUUAAUGUAACAUGUUGUAAAUAUCUGUAGUAUAAAGAGACUGACUUUUUUAGUUGGAGUUGUUUUUUCCAUUCGCAAGAUUUAAACUUUGAAUUAUAACAUUAUGGAAAUCAAACAUGAAAUGUAUAUCACUAGAAUCAAUCACGUCUUGGUAUAUAUAUAUUAAUCACGUCCUGCUAGAUUAAAGGAUUCGAAGUCUUGGUUUCUAACUCCAACAUAUAGCACCUUUAAACUAACAUGGAUUAGGUUUAUCCAGAAUUACUUUUUAGUUUUGAGAAUCUAGCAGGCUAAUGCUUCAAUUAUUAUAAUCUUAAUUAUAUUUUACUGCAUAUAAAAUCUAAUUAUAUAUGGGCAUAAGGAUUUUGCAGUUGUAAUAAUAAUUGAUGAAUAGUGAUGGGUGAACAUGAGCAUUAAUAAUUGAGUACAUUAUUCUAAACAGUGACUAGGUCCCUAUUCCUCACCAAUCUCCCAAUUAUCUCUUUGGUUUAGGCACGAAAAUAGAAUAAAAAGAGACGAAGGAAAAAUUAUAGUAGAAAAUGAUAUAAUUUUCUGGUUAUUUUGUAUGAAGGAAAAGAGAGAGAGAAAAGAAUAGAUUGUAUAAAAAACAUUGCACCAAUUCGGAGGCGUCAAAUUUACCAUUUUCAAAUAUUUAGGAACUUAGCACGGUUUAAAACAUGACUAAUAGGAAUAUGAUUUUUUUAACUUUAAGGAGAUUAGGCUUAAUGAUAGCAACUCAGUGGUAUAAUGACUAUUUAUUCCUAAGGUCAUGAAUUUGAGUCGCGAAAGGCUCCCCUUGGAGGGAAUAAAAUAUAUUCAUGGGUCUGGGAGGUCGCAUGUCAGAAUUAGGAUGUUACAUUGAGUAGAAGAUAAUAUAUUUCCUAACAAGUCAGAUAGACCAAAUUAUUUCGAGCCAAAUGAUACUCUAGAAAUUAUGACAUACUCAUGUAAAUGAUAAAAUUGUUUGUUAGAUCAUUAAAAAGAGACCUCCUCCAUGUUGUCGUAUAAUUUCUCUUCUAAGUAAGGCUUAUGUAGUUGACAAUGUGUCAUGGAAUAGUCUCAAUUCGAAAACGAUGACCUUCAAAUGUGUCUUUGAUUUUCAGGGAUGUUGGUGGUGUUAUUGUGGUGUGCUCCAUUUGGUGGGCAUGUUUUAUAGGAGGUUGUAAGUUGAUUUGACUAAGUAAAGAUUGGAUUUAUCAUGGAUCCACACCCACGAGUCUAGAGUAUGUCUAUCGAAGGUGUGAUUUUGAAUGUCUUACAAAAGGGUAUCUAUUGACUCUAGUUCCCAAGUGAAAUAUUUUCUUCGCCAAGUUAGAUUCCAAUCCCAUAUCUAAUAUCUUAUGAGUGCAUAAUUGCACUGGCUUAAUUUGAAAAGUAUAUUGUACAUUGUCUUAAGGUUUCCAGACCCUAACCAAUUAUCUUUCCAAAAUCUAAUAUUCGCCUCAUCCUCGACUUUCCUCAUAAUGUCAUAUUAGAACCACUACAUAGUGUCCAUCCUCCUCUAACAACUAGGUUGUAGAUGUCCGGGAUCCAAAGUGAAUAUUUAUGAGGAGAAAUCGAGGCUCCUUCCUCGGAGUGGUUCAUAAUUAUUGGAGCACAGUGAGCAUAGUAACUUGCCCACCAAGCAACAUGUUAAUACAUCACAUGGUCCUAGAAAAAACACAAAAGAUUUGUCUCAUGGUCCAACACGAGUCAUUGGCCCAAAUAGCACGGUCAGAGUGUUAUGCACCACAACGCAUCAGGUUCAAGACCCUGACCGAGAAAGAACAGUCAGAAUAGCUCAAGUCACGCCAAGCAUCAGGCACAGGUCUCUCGGUCAGUUGCUCGAGUCAGACGCAUGUCCUUCGGUCAAGUUGAUCAACAUGAUGUAUCAAGCCAGACUGGAUGGGGCGCACCAAAUCAGCUUGAUCAAUCGCAUCAGCAUUACACGGUCAGAGAUGCAAUCUUGGCGCACCAAAUGCCAAGCUUGGCACAUCAUAUGUCUAUCUUGGCGCACCAACAUUAUAUGGUCAGACUUGUGACCUUGGCCAAGCUUGGCGCACCAAAUCCAUCACUGAGUGUGGAGCAUCCUUGAUCAGAAUUUACACAUGUGUGCUAUUAAUUGACACUUGUAUUUUACAUAGACAUUUUUUGUAUAUUCUAGCGGGGUCUCUAUGAUGAGUUAGUUAGGGUUGUUUGUUAGCUUGUUAGUUAGGGGUUUUACCACUUUUAAUUAGGUUGUCUAUUCUACAAGCAACCACAAUGUUGAACCAAUUUGUAUAUAAGUAAGCCUUUGGCUUAUGAAAAGAUUAACACAAAUAUAAUAAAAUAGAUGAGGUAUAUUGAGUCACAAAUUCACAAUAAUAAUUGCAUGCCCAUAUUUAGACCUUAGUACUCUACACUAUAGGCUAUCACUUUCAGAUUGAAUACUCUAUUUCCAUUUCUCAAAAAGAGCUAGAUUAAAGAUGUGGAUAUUCUUUCAUCCCAAACUCUCUUUCGGAUAGAAAUAUUACUUAUUCUCCUACUCGUUUUUAUUUAUAUUAUUGAAAUACUUUGUUGGUUAAAAAAAGAAAACCCCUUUUUCUUUUAUUUAUAUUAUUGAAAUACUUCGGAUUUUUAUUUAAACACGAAAAUGAAAAUUCAUGAAGCUCACAUAUUAUUUUCUUUCCUCCCUUUUUGUUAUGCAACCAAAGAGAUGAAUAUUAUUUAUUCUUUCAUCUUCCUUCCCCCUUUCAUUCGUCGGUGACCAAACAAAAGCCUAAAGGAAUUAAGGAAUCAAAGAAAGAAAAAAGUGUAUUAGAAAGGUAAAAAUUCACUUCAAAUUCAUCACAUUCUCUUAGAAAAUUGCCCUUCAGCCCUUCUGCAUUCUUAACGUUCACAAUCUAAUUAAUAUAAUAUAUAAAAGAAGUAUCUUAUUUAAUUAUGUCAUUUGGAUGUUGUAAUUGACAUUUAGGCAUGCUAUGGAAGACUUUGGAAAAGUCUGAAUUGAAGAGCACUCAUGUUAAGGUGAGUUUACUACAGAAAAAAAAAUGUUCUGACAUUUCGCAACUUUUUGACACCGGCCAUAUAGACUUUUAUAUCAUAGAGCACAUAAUUUAAAAAGUAGUAGAUUGAUCUCAAAAUACUAAUUANNNNNNNNNNNNNNNNNNNNNNNNNNNNNNNNNNNNNNNNNNNNNNNNNNNNNNNNNNNNNNNNNNNNNNNNNNNNNNNNNNNNNNNNNNNNNNNNNNNNUAUAUAUAUAUUAUUUUGUAAUAUCUAAGGAAUAAAUUUGUAUCCAUAUUUAGAAGUAUUGUUAAAUCUGUAUCUUAAAAAUAAUCAAGGAUAAAUUUUGGAGAGAAAAACAGUCAUACUUUAAAUGAGUUAAAAAAAUCGAACACAUCAAGCAUCCUAAUUUUAUAAAUAAAUAAAAAUGAAACUCAAGUCUUCAACUUUACAUUUGGUCCAUUAUAUAAGCAAAUCAAGUUUGAAUAACUUCGUUUUCCUCAUAAACCAAAAUUCAAAUAUUUGGCUUGUCUUGGCUCACCCCACUUCAUAACUCUCCAUUUCUCAUUGUUCCAGCCAUGUUGUGUGAUGGUACGUUUGCAUGCUGCAAAAGUCAAAAGUUAGUUUUUUGAUUCUACUAUGUCAAAGGUUCCGUUUAUAUAAGAAAUGUGUGUUUGUCUAUGUGGAAUGGGUUUAUGUCUCUCGUGCAUGAGUUAGAUUCAUGAAUCCAUAUAUGUGAACAAAACAUUAUUGUGAAAGAUAUUUAUCUGUUUUGAGGCUGAAAUAUAUGAUUUUUGAAUUUUCAAGCUGCAAUGAUCAAUUCACCAUCAAAGAAUCCAUCUAGAUCCUAAAAUGAUGGAUACAUCCACAUAUUUUGAAAGAGAUAUGUAUAUACAAUGCAUGUUGAGAACAAAACAUGCAACGUAAGACUAGGGAACAAAAUCUUUUAAUUGACAUGCAUUACGUGAGAAAUUGGUCUUGUAUGUUUGGAAACAUAGCAGCCACAAGCUAAGAAGAGAAAAAAGGCACUGUUAAUUGAUUCGUUCAUACUUGUGGGGUUAUCACUAUAAGUGUAAAUGUAAUCCCAAAAAAUCUUAUAUUAAUGUCCUCCACUAAUGCCUAUAUGGUGCACAAUUACACAAUGGGUAUUAAUUCUAAUAUGGGAUAGUUGGCAAAUUGGCUUGGUAAUGCCUAAUUAUAUUCAAUACCUUACUUUAUUGAAUUUUUGCAUAAACCAGAAUAUUCAACGACAACAUGUAGUUGGAUUUGAGAGCGACUUAUUGGGCUUCCCAUGCAUAAGUAAAAAUGUGACAUGUGCAAAAUGAUGUAAAUGAUCUAAAUUGGUUUGAGGGUGAUUAGAUUUAUUAUCAUAACUAAAAUCAAUUAUUAGAAACCAUGUUUUUUUUUUAUAUUACCAUGCGUAUUUCUUCACCUUUUUUAUAAGAAAUUAAUUAUGUCUGUCCCUCCCAAUAAAUGUUGCUUUUAAAAAUCGAACUCUUAACCGUAAAAUCUUACACUACUAGACAAAUGCCUUAUUAGUUAUUAGAAACCAUGUUUAUCAUAAGGUGUUAUUUUUUUAUGGACAAAAAUUAAUUUUAUUAUAUUAUUACACAAAAUUAGAAAGGGAUAUGAUGUUGUAAGUUGUGAGAGUUACAAGUUGAAAGUUAGAAGAUAUUUAAAGAAGCAUAUUCAAGCAAUUAGAGAAGACAUUAUGUAGGUUUUGUAACCCAAUUAGAAUAGGUUAUUGCAACUCGUCCCACUUUCCAUUGAUCCGCGAUCAGGGUUUCAUCAAAUUCUGUAAUUUGUUGAAGAAAAGGUUUACUUGAGUUGAAGAUCACAUUAUUUCUAACCAAUUAAGUAGAUCAUAUUAUUACUAAUCAAAUGAUGCUACGGAGUUUUUGGCUUUUUUUUGUGCUUUAUUAUACUCAUGUCUAUAAUAAAAUGAUAAAUGGAGUCAAGUGGUAGAUUUGGGGUAAUGUCUAGCCAAUUGUAGAUUAAUUGCUAAAACUGAGUAUGUAAGUCGAUAUGAAAGGAAAAUGUUUUAUAUCUUGUGUUGAUUGUGUCUGUUUGCUGUUAGAAAUUCAUCUAGCAUUUCCUACUCUCUAUUUUUAUCCAUUUUCGAUCAACACUAUUUUAAGUAAAAUAAUUAAUAUUUUAUUAUACACAUAUAUUGUUUAAGGUAAGGAUCGGAUUAAGUAAAUGGAGAGCACAUGAACUCGUGCCAUAACAGUAUAGUUGUAUACUGAGCUUGGGUCAGCUGAAGAUUUGGUCAAAACAAUAUGUAAAAAAGAAGAAAGAUUAUUGCACUAAAAUUUGGACAACAAUAAAGUAUAUAAUGCUUUCUAGUAUGUUUAGGAAAACAUGCAAUGUAUAAUAGAAGAUAAAGAGUAGGUGAGAGAUAGAAAUAAAUGUAAAUGAUAUUAUAUCUAAUGUCAAAAUUUUGAUGUACAAAUAAUGAGAAGAUUUUAUGAGAAAUUUGUCCCAUAGGCAAUUAUCCAUUAAGAUGAUUUUGUUUUUAUUUCCAUAAACUUGACAUAUUUCGUCCAUGUGAAUUUUGGUAUUAUCAUGAUGGAAGGUAGGUAAGAAAGAGAACCUUGUUAUAGACAAAAGAUACCUCCAUAAAAUGAAGAGAAAAUUGAUCAAUUAAAUUCUGCAAUAUAACAAGUUAAGAACAUCACUCCUCUAAUAGACUCAAGCAUGUUCUCAUGAUCACCACCAAAGAGAAUCUUCACCUUUGUGGUCUAGUUUAGGAUUAUUCUUUCUAUUUUCAUGAAGAAGCAAGUCUUGAAUUUCUUCAUUAGAUAUAUCAGCCCUACAGAAUAAAGGGUGGAUGAGUUUGAGACUGGGCUAAUCUCAUGGACACUAGUGUGAGUGAUAUUUGGGUUUAAUGUGAUUAUGGAAUUGAACAGUAAAGCUUAAUGUUUGAUACUAACUUUUAACUGUGACCGAUUAUGGUCCACCACGAUAAGGGUCAUAUUUAUAAAAAAACAUUAAUUACAUAUUUUUUUCUAUUCUAUUUUAUUAAUAUAUUUAUUUUUAUAAAACUUAUAAUAGUUUUAGUAUAUUUUAUAUUUUUACUAAAACAAUUAUGAAAUAUAAGAUAAUAGAUAUAAUAUUUUCAUUUGGAAAAUAUGAUUAUAGAGACACUAUAAUUAAAAAAAUUAGAUUUGUUAAAAUUUGAAAUUUAUAAAUCGAAUACUUUGUUCAACCUUUGGAGUUAAUAGUCUCUAAAAAAUCAUUUUUUUUGUAAAACUCUGAUACAUAAAAGUACAAGGCCUCGGGCUUAGGGAUGACAAUGAAAACCAAACUUGUGGGUACUCAUUUAAACCUAACUCAAAUUUAAUGGAAAAAACCUGAUAUAAUUAAAUUUGGAUUUUACUGAAGUUCAGUUUUCAGGUUUGAUAUACUUGAUACUUUACUUGAACUCACCCGAACUCAAUUAAUAUAUAUAAAAUUACAAAAUUAGACAUAAAUACAUAUAUAAAACCUAUAUAGGUAGAAAGUUAACAUAUAUAUAGAACCUCUAUAUAUAUAUAAAGAUACAUGUUUUGGGUAGGUUCCCGUCAGGUUUGGGUUAACCAAAACCCGACGGAUGGUAAUAUUGUUUUCAACCUCGCUUAAUUUGGGUUUGGGUUGAGUAAGCACAAACCGACCUGAUUUGUCCUGUUGUCAUUCCUAAUCGGACUUAUCUCAAAUAUUGGAGAGUUCAAUACUAAAAAGUAAGGGAAAACAUAAUUUUGUCACCUUUUUCAAUUUUUGCAGGCACCAUAUAUUAGAAUAUGGGCCCAGUAUUGGACUUCUAAUAUUGGACAUGAGCUCAGCCUAAAUAUAUCAGGGUCGUUCAUAAUUAUUACGAACAGUAUAUUAACAAAUAUGAACAUGAGGAGCCAAUUUAAAAAAAAUUGAGACCAAUGUGAAAAAUAAUUAAUUUGCAAAAAAAGAUAAAACAAUGUGAAGACCAUAUAAAUAUUUUCACGUAUAAAUAUUGCUCUUGUUGGAACAAAGAAUAACGAAUGGAAUGAACAAGAAUGAAAACAGAAUGAAUGAAUGAAUGAAAGAAGGAGAAGAAUGCAAAUAGAGGAAAGGUGGUGAAAUAGUGAAGAUUUUGCAGGAAAUUAUACAGAGGAAAAGUGAUGUAUGAGAUGAGUGAAUAUCAAUGAAUUUAUAUUCUUGUGUAUUUUUUCAAAGUGAUAGUUAGGAUUUACUAUUUAUAGAAACCCUUAACUAACUUAACUAAAUUUUGAAUCACACUUUUAACAUCCCCCCAUGAUUCAAAAUUUACAAACAACAUGAAACUCCUAAACAUUUAACUACUCAAAGCAAUCGAAUCUAAUCUUGCAACAAGCCUUGAAUUCCUAUCUUCUUUCUCAAGUCUUUAAACCUAUCCAUAUUCAAAUGCUUAGUCAUAAUGUCUGCCAAUUGAAGCUCACUCUUGCAAUGUAUGAGCUUGAUUCUUCCUUCUACAACCUGUUGCCUUAAGUAAUGGUAUCUUGUUUCAAUAUGCUUGCUUCUGCCAUGUGAGACUGGAUUCUUGGCUAAAUCAAUUGCUAAUUUACUAUUUAUAGAAACCCUUAACUAACUUAACUAAAUUUUGAAUCACACUUUUAACAUCCCCCCAUGAUUCGAAAUUUACAAACAACAUUAAACUCCUAAACAUUUAACUACUCAAAGCAAUCGAAUCUAAUCUUGCAACAAGCCUUGAAUUCCUAUCUUCUUUCUCAAGUCUUUAAACAUAUCCAUCUUCAAAGGCUUAGUCAUAAUGUCUGCCAAUUGAAGCUCACUCUUGCAAUGUAUGAGAUUGGUUCUUUCUUUUGCAACCUGCUGCCUUAAGUAAUGGUAUCUUGUUUCAAUAUGCUUGCUUCUACCAUGUGAGACUGGAUUCUUGGCUAAAUCAAUUGUCGAUUUACUAUAUAUCAAUGAUUCAAUUACUUCUCCACUUUCAAUACCUAGUUCCAGCAGCAAUGAAGAUAACCAAAUUGCUUGACAAGCUGUUGCACAAGCUGCUAUGUAUUCAGCUUCACAAGUUGAUAAUGCCACUACCCUUUGUUUCUGUGAACACCAAGAUAUAGGAGCACCUACAACCAUGAACACAUAUCUCAUUGUGCUCUUUCUAUCUAGUAUAUCUCCACACCAAUCAGAGUCAGAAUAGGCCAUGAGUUGUGAGCUAAUCUUCUCAUUUUGAUGAGGAAAAACAAAGCCAAAGUCAAGUGUUCCCCUUAGAUAUCUCAAAAUUCUUUUGGCUACAACCAUGUGAGAGUGUCUUGGAUCACUCAUGAACCUACUGAUCACACCUACACUGAAUGAUAUUUCGGGUCUAGAGUGGCAAAUAUACCUCAAACUUCCCACGAUCUGCCUAAACAGUGUUACAUCCACACCUGCUUCUUCCUCACAAAUAUCCAAUUUCAAAUUCAUCUCCGCAGGAGUUUCUGAGGCAUUGCAAUUCAUCAUAUUGAACUUGUUCAACACCUCAAGAAGGUACUUCUUUUGGUGCAUGAAAAAUCCUCUAUUGGUGUAUUGAAAUUCCAGACCAAGGAAGUAUGACAAUCUUCCUAAAUCUAUCAUUUCAAGCUCACCCUUUAGGCUUUCCUUCAACUCUUCAAUUCCUCUUGAGCUACUACAUGUAAUCAGAAGAUCAUCGACAUAUAGGCAGAAGAACAAGGCACCAUGAUUUUGGUCUAUAGUCUUGAUGUACACACCAUACUCAACUGUGCAUUUCUGAAAACCAGAGUUAUGUAGAAAUUUGUCAAUCCUCUUGUUCCAUGCUCUAGGUGUUUGUCUUAAUCCAUAGAGUGAUUUCUUGAGUCUUACCACUUUAUUCUCAUUUCCUUUGCUGAUGAAACCAGGGGGUUGAGACACAAACAUCACUUCCUCUAGUGGACCAUUGAGAAAGGUUGACUUGACAUCCAAUUGACACAACCUCCAUUUCUUCCAACUAGCUAAGGCCACCAUAAGUCUCACAGUUUCUAAUCUAGCCACUGGUGCAAAGACCUCAGAGUAGUUCAGUCCUUCUUUUUUGCAUAAACCCUUUGGCCACAAGCCUUGCUUUAUGCUUUGCUAGCCAUCAGGUUUUAACUUGACCUUGAAGAUCCAUUUGACAUCUAUAGGAGUUUUCUGAUCUGGAAGGGUCACCAAUUCCCAUGUGUCAUUCUUAUCUAUUGACUUGAUCUCUUCUAGCAUAGCAUCUCUCCAAAUAUUGCUAGAGAUUACUUCUUCAAAGCUCACUGGCUCAGCAUCAACUAGUAGAGCCAUGUGUUGAACCAAAUCUCCAUCUGUAUUGAUAGCCCCAUUAGAAUAGAGGUGAAAGUCUCUGAGUCUAGAUGGAGCAUUCCUUUGUCUUCUUGGUCUUUCAUCAAUUCCUUGUUGCAUAUGACUUUGUGCAUCUAUCUGUUCUUCUUCUCUCAUCAAUUCAUCAUUCUCCCAAUCUAGAUGCAGACUAGCCAUAGGAAAAGUGUUAUCUUGAGACCAUUUCCAUGAUUCAGAUUCACCAAAGUGCACAUCUCUACUAAAUACAACUUGAUGUUUGUAGGAUUGUACAAUUUAUAUGAACCCGUAGGAUUAUAUCCAAUGAAGAUCAUUGGUUCACUCUUGUUAUCUAGCUUCUUUCUUCUUUGAUCUGGGAUAUGACUAUAGCAAAGUGAGCCAAAUAUCCUUAGAUGUUUCAUAGAAGGUUUUACUCCUGACCAAACUUCUUCUGGCACUACUGAAUUCAACUUCUUCGUAGGACAUCUGUUUAGAACAAAUGCAGCAAUGGUGGUUGCUUCUCCCCAAAAACCGUGUGGAAGAUUCUUGGUCUUCAACAUACUCCUAACCAUGUUGAGGAUUGUUUUAUUGCUUCUUUCUGCAAUUUCAUUGUGUUGAGGUAUGUAUGGAGCAGUUACCUCAUGUACAAUUCCUUGCUCCUUGCAGAAUUCAACAAACUCCCUUGAUGUGUACUCACCACCAUCAUAAUUUGUUCUAAGGUUCUUUAUGCUCCUCCCAGAUUGUUUUUCUGCCAAUCUCUUAAAGUCCUUAAAGAUUGAGAAGACUUCAUUCUUGAGUUUGAUUAGAUAAAUCCACAACUUUCUACUCAAGUCAUCUAUGAAUGAUACAAAGUACUUGUUGCUUCCUAGUGAUGGAACACCAAAUGGUCCACAAACAUCAGAGUAGAUUAUAUGCAACAAGUCAUUUGCUCUUGAGGCAGUGUAUGAGCUGAAAGAAUUUCUUGGAUGCUUGCUAAUAAGGUUAUUAUCACACACCUUCCUGGGAAGAUCUAUUGAGGGUAAUCCUAGAACCAUGUCUCUAAAUUUCAACAUACUCAAAUCUCUGAAGUUCAAGUGCCCAAAUCUUAGAUGCUAAAGCCAAGAAUCCUCUGAUAGUGUCAUAGUAGAUAGGCACUGAGAUUCCACUAUUGCCAAACUGAUUUGAAAUGUUCUGUUUGAAGCCAUAGUUGCCCUCAUGACUAGUUUCUUCUUCUGAUCAUAGAUUUCCAAGAAACCAUUGAGUAGUUCCGUGGAAAAUCCUUUCUCCAACAGUUGUCUCAUACUGAUCAAGUUGUUUUUCAUGUUUGGCACAUACAACACAUCAAUGAUCAUGGCAUGCUUGUCAUCCUUUCUCUUGAUCAAAACAUCACUAGUGCCUUCAGCUUGAAUGACCUUAUUGUCAACAAAUCUAACACUGCUUUUUCUCUUUUCAUCAAAAUUAACCAACCAAUCUCUGUGUCUAGUCAUAUGGCUUGAGCAACCAUAAUCUAUAUACCAUAUAUCAUUGUUCUUGCUAACUUGGCUAGUAACAAUCAUGAGCAAGAGAGGUUGAUCAUCAUUUUCUAUCUCAACCUCUUCUUUUGCCAUUUGUGAUUCAUUGUGUUGUCUGCUUCUAUUAUUACUUUGGCUAGAUGAGGCUUUGCAUUCAUUUGAGAAGUGGUCAAUUUUGCCACAAUUGAAGCACUUUAUCUUCUUCCUAUCCAUUGCAUUUCUACCUCCUCUCCAUUGAUUGAAUCCCCCUCUCUUGAUUGAGCCUUCUGAUUCAUCAAUGUCUAUUCUUUCUUGAUCUAAAAUUUCUUCCUCUACUUCUACCUCGAAGUCCAUUUCUUCCACCAAAGCUCCUUCUACUUGUGUGAGCUUGUAAGGUCUGCUCAACAUGUCUUUCUAUAGAUCUUUCCAUGAGCCUUUGCUCAUGUGCCUCAAGAGAACCUUGAAGAUCUUCCACCUUCAUUUCUUCUAGUCUUUUGGACUCCUCAAUUGCCACUACAAUAUGGUCAAAAUUUGGAGUUAAAGUGCGAAGGAUCUUCUCAACAAUGGACUGAUUAGAAAUCUUCUCUCCACAAGCUUUCAUCGAAUUUGUAUGAGUGACAACUCUGUUAAAGAAUUGAGCCACCUUCUCAUUUGCACCCAUCUGCAUCAAUUCAUAUUGUCUUCUUAAAGUUUGCAAUCUCACUUUCUUUAAUUGUUCUGCUCCUUGAUUGCAAGCUUCAAGAAUCUGCCAUGCCUCCUUCGAAUUUGCAGCACCAGAAAUCUUCUCAAAGUGUGCUUCACCCACACACUGAUGUAGGAGGAACAUUGCCUUGCAAUCCUUCUUCUUGUUCUCCUUAUGCACCUUCCUUUGUUCUUCUGUUGCAACUUCAGCAAGAAUUGGAAAACCUUGUUCAACAAUUUCAUCUACAUCUUGAUAUCCCAUUAGUGCCUUCAUUUGCAAUCUCCAUCGGUUCUAAUUCUUGCCAUUAAGAAUUGGAAGGUUUGCUGAGAAAUUUCCACUAUUUUGUCCCAUGAUUUUCGAAGAUGAUUGAUGAUGAUGAAGGUGUAUUCUUGGAUCUUUGAACCUUGCUCUUGAUACCAAUUUUGUUGGAACAAAGAAUAACGAAUGGAAGGAACAAGAAUGAAAAUAGAAUGAAUGAAUGAAAGAAGGAGAAGAAUGCAGAUAGAGGAAAGGUGAUGAAACGGUGAAGAUUUUGCAGGAAAUUAUGCAGAGGAAAAAUGAUGUGUGAGAGAAGUGAAUAUCAAUGAAUUUCUAUUCUUGUAUGUUUUUUCAACGUAAUAGUUAGGAUUUACUAUUUAUAGAAACCCUUAAUUAACUUAACUAAAUUUUGAAUCACACUUUUAACAGUUAUUUCAUUAUUCCCACCCCCGAAGACCUAAGUUGCUCUUGGAAUUUAGUUUCUUGACGUGUUCUUUAUUUCAUGUAAAUUUCAAUGGCAUGCUGAUCACGGGACGUGAGAGGCUACGAAGUUUCCUCGAAAGAGAAAGAACAGAAAAAUAGGGACAUGUACCAUGGAAAAAACAACACUAUCAUGUGUUUUCUGUGUUACUCAAAACCAACCACCAUCCUAUAUUCCAAUUCCAAAAGAAUUGCUUACUUUACUAUCUUUCCUUGCAUGUGGCGUUUGUCAAUUUACUAUCGAAUUUUCUUCUCCCUCUUCUUUACUUACAUAGUUAUAUUUUGUUGGUAUUAUCAAACGUAUCUCUUCACCCUUUGGGUAAAGAACUAAUUCAUUUCGAGAUAUGUGAUUGUCUAUCUCAACAAGUAUCGCUCUCAAUAGUUGAACCAUUGAUAUUUAUAUGGUUAUAUAUGUCCAUAUUCAAUCAUCACUAUUAAAAAAAACGUUGAAAGAUAUAUCUCUUUCCAUCAAAAUUUCCAACCUUCUUUACGGGUUUCACCAAAGUCAUGCCACACUUCCAUUUUCCAUAAUUGGUGUAAUAAAAUAAUUCAUUUGUAUGUGAUUUCCACGUUGCUAGCACGUCGAUCAUUAAAUUAAAUUUUAGAAAUUUCAGUAACAAUAACCAUGUUAAUUUAUAUGACAAACUUAACAGUGGGGUUACUUUCUUAUUGUUUUCAACAAGGGGUAAGUUUAUAAAAUGUUUUAGAUUGGAAAGGUGAUAGAAAAGAGUUGAAGGUAAUUUUAGGAUUUAACUAAGAUUCUCAAUCUUUUAUUUAAAAAAAUAUUAGGAGUAUGAAGGAUACCUAACCCACAUACCCUAACUACCACAAAUUUAUUACAAUUAUAUAAUUCAGGUACUCAGUUUUUACAAUUAGACAAUUCACGUACACAGUUUUAAUGAGAUAGUAAGAGUUACUUUUAAGUUUUAAAAUUUAAACACAAUCCCACACGUUAGAAAAUUUUCAACAUUAUAAAUUAGAUAAUAAAAUUCACAUUAAAGUCUCCAUAUGAGGAUGACAACAAGGUUGGGUGAAGACAAGCAACAAACUCAUUUUCUCUCUUAUCUUUAUCUCUGAUCCUAUUAUGAUUUUAUAAAAUAGAAAGAAAGAAAAUAUAUUAAAAGUUCAAUAAAAUAGAAAAAUGUAGUAGAAGUUGAAAAAGUUCGAAAAAUAAAGUCUAACUCAGGCAUCCAUACGACAGGUUGUAGAAGCGAAAGUGAAAUAUUGACUGCAAAAGUGACAAGUUUGUAAUGCUCUAUUCAGAUUAAGUUGUCAAUCACUGAAAUCGUUUUGAACAACUUUUAUUCUUUACCCGCAUCAUCUUCUAUUUUUCUCAUUGUUUUUAGUGUUGUAACUCUUUUGUAUCUUUGGUAUCUCUUUAAUAUAAAAAAUUGCAAAUAAAAAGAUAGUACAAAAUCCAAAUGCUCAUCAACAAGCUCAUGUUAAAUAAUUAUAAUAAUGAACUAAUCUUUUUCUGAGUGUGUGACUGCUCCUCUCAAUAAGUGUUGUAUGUAGAAUUCAAAUCCUUAAAUUUUGGUCAUUCUAAAAAUUUAGUAAAAACUUAUAUUAUUAGACUAACAUCUCAUUUGUUUUCUUUCGGGUCUUUACUCCAUCAUUUUGGCCCCACAAUGAAAAACAGCUUCAAUCAUGAAACUUGGCUGAAAUGACCAUGGCUAAGAUCAUAAAAGACAUUCAAAUUUUGUAAUUACAACCGAAUAGUUUCUAGAAUCUCUCCAAUGAUGUUAAAAUUGCAAUUAGGUUGUACUUCCCAUAAUUUAAAACAUAUUUAUACUUAAUAAUAAUAUUUUAGCAUCAAUCGAGCAUUAGGAAAAAUUCAUAGAUUUUUAAGUAUAAAAUUUAUUAAAAGAUUGAAGUAAUACAUUUAAAGAAUACAAAACCAACAAAUAAAUAGUAUUACACCUUAACCUACUCAAUAAUAACACAUCAAUACAUAUUCAACACAACAUGGAAUCGCACAUAAUCGAGAAUCAACUAUAAAGUCAUCUAGUGUAAGCUAAGAUUUGAAAUAGAAGUUCAUUCAAUCUAAAACAUUAAUAUACUUAUGUAUUCUUUUUAUCUAAAUCCAUGACUUGUUUUAUCAUGUCCACAAAUUUCAUAGUUAAUUCUAAAAGAGUAUGGACUCCGAGAAGCUCAUUCCAUGUAAUACCUCACAUUUAUAAGAAAUAUAGAAUAAAAAAAAUCUAAGAGACUUCUACAAUGCUGUAUUUUUAUAUCCCUUGUUUCACACUCUUAACCAAACAGACAAUUAGACUAGGCAUGACAAUGACAACAGAUGCGGGCGGACGCGAGUAGUGUUUUCCGUGCCAAAACUUUCACCAUCACUGAUCCAAGAUGCAACUUUUUUCAGCACAAAUUCAUGUCGAGAUUUGGAACAAAGUGAGCUUAAGCCAAAAUGAUGAUUAAGCCACACACAUUUACGAAAUUGUGACGCUCUAUUCUCAUGAAUCUCACUCUGCCAUGAACAUCAUUAUUAUAAGAAACAAAAAGAAUAAUAAUAAUAAGAAACAAAAAGAAUCGAAGAAGCUGCGUUUAUAUAUUCAUCUCUCAUAUGAUCAUGAUCAUCAUCACAUAUGCAUCUUUAUAAAGUAAGAAUAAUAAUAAUAAUAAUCACAAUCAUAAUCAUCGCUGCAACUCCAUCAUACGCGAAAAGUCCUCAAAGCACACGAACCCAUCUCCUUUUCUAUCAACACUCUCUAUCAUGCGCCUGCACUCCGCUAACGUGCACCUCUCAUCUCCGAUCGCCUCAAAAACUCUAAACAACUCCUCCGCCGAGAUCCUCCCGUCACGAUCGGUGUCGAACACCGCGAAAGCCUCCAUCAUCUCAUCCGCGUUUUCACACGACCCGGAACCCGAUCCAACCCGAUUCAUCAGCGCCUCCACGGUUAUGCACCCUUCCCCGUCGAACUCAACCUCGCUCAGCAUCAUUGCCACCUCCUCCGGCGCUGCCGCGAGCCGAUUUAACAACGCCUCAAGCUCGUGCCGUGAAAUUACACCGUCCCUAUCGCGGUCGAUGAAGCGGAAGGCGUUAGCAAGAUCGGAGUGGAGGUCGCCGGAGAUGGCGGUCCAGUCGCCGGAAACGUCAGGAAGAACACUGGUCGGAGUUUGAGAACCGGUUGCUCCGGUUGCCGUCUUAUGAGUGGACCCCUCAGAAGAAGAAGAUAAAGAUUCUGAACCGAAUGAUGGCGGGUCGGAUCUUGAAACAGUGGAACGGUCUUUCUUUGAACGGAAGAACCGUUUUGGACUGAGUUUAUUGAUGAGCUUCAUUUGGAAGAGAAAUAGGAGAGAAAGGAAAUGAGGGAAUUAGGAGAGAGAGAAAAUGGAAGGAAGAAAGGUUUGAGGGGAAAGAGAGUGGAAGGUUGGGGGUUAAAUGGAGGUACAUAGCUACCUUCAAGUGAGCUUCUAGGAAGUUUCCUAGUGGAUCAUUGAGGGAUGAAAAAGUGCCUCACUAUUUAUAAUAAUUUAUACUCUUCAAUAUUAUAAUCAAUUAUUCAUUUAUGACUGAUUUGAUUAAAUGGGAAAUUCUUUCUCCACGUUGAUGUCAACUUUUUUUUUAAAGGAGUAGGUGGGAAAGAAAAAUUUUGAGGAAGUUUUAUUAUAUUCUCCUACUAAAUCUUGAUACUUAUGAGAAAGUGAUAUGUCAUUUAUAAAUUAAUUAUUAAUAAAUAAAGUAUCAUCUUAUAACAUACGUUACUUUUUUGUUGGUAGAAAGAUUAGUAAGAAAAUAUAAUAAAAUUAUAUUAAUAGGAGAAUAUUUGUUGUCUCACUUUCUGUAUUACUCCAUGUACCAUCACUUCUAAUUGAAUUAAAAAAAUUAUUUAAGUUAAAAUUACAAUUAGUAAAUAUUUUUCUGAUCAAUCAUAUAUACUGACACAAAAGAAUGAGAUAGCAUAUAUGGACCCUCUAUUAUUUUCCAACUCACAAUGUUAAAAUGUGGGUCUCACUUUUUUCAUCCUUCUCAAAACAAAAACAAAAACAAAAAACAAAUCAAUAAUAAAUAAUAUAUUAACAGUGUGAUGGGUAAACUUUUAACUCUUAGAGAAAAUGUUGAGUUUGUGUAGUAGAAUCCAUAAUUUAAACUUGUACUGAUGUGUCUCUAAAUUUGAUAUGUUAAAGUAUAUUAGUAAGAAUUUUUGUAGCUUGGAUUAAUUUUAAAAUGGAUGAUUGGGAGUUUGUUGAAUUAGGCUGGUUAAUGUUACCACUUAAGUCUUCAUAUUUGACAUUAUUUUUCUUUAUUACGUAGAAGGAUAUAUCAUUUUUCAUAAUAUUAUCUUUCUUUUUAUACUAAUCUAUCAUUUACUUAUUUCGAGAAUAUAUGUAAUGUCUCAUUUUUCAUGAUUCUCACACACAAAUGGGAAAUAACAAAAACAAUUUCUUUGUCAUCUUUUAUUUAAGAAGAGUGCAUACAGGCUUAAGAUUAGCAUUUUUGUGAGGUUUCAAGAAUUAAGGGUAUACUUCAGUCGAUAAUUGAAGAUUAAUAUCUUUCUAGGAGAAAAAAUCACCAAAGUGAAUACAGCAUCUCCCAACAAAGCAUUUCUCAUAUACACAAUAUGAAUUAAACCCUCAACAUUAUGUUUAAGGAAUCAAUUUUUUUUUUCUAUCGGGCUUUAUUGCUUAAGAAUGUUUAAUUUUUUAUUUAUAACAGAGUGCCUUAGUGCUUAGUGGGUGAGAUUUGAAUGAUAUGUUUUGAGACUUGGAUUCGGAUAUAUUUUACUUGGUGAAAUAUACUUAUUAAUUUAUAUAUGGUUGGUGAAAUAUACUUAUUAAUUUAUAUAUGGUAAGAUUAUUGGUGUAGUAUUUUGUUAACCAAAUCAGCAUGUAAUAAAGAUUUCUUAAUGGUAGGGAACAUAACAAGUAAAAUAAACAUUUAAAGAUCUUCACCAGUAAAAAUUAGGAACUAAAUUAAGAACGUAACUCUUGGAAGAGCCCACUUACUCACAAUUGUAUCUUAGAUAUAACAAACACCAUGACACCAAUAUAUGUUCAUAUAACUAAUAGGCAUAUGGAUAUUAUUUUUUUGUCUUUCUAUAUUUACUUUUAUCUUUCCAUUAAUUAUUAUUAGUUUAUUCCACUACCUAUAUAUAUAUAUAUAAAUUUUAGAAAUGCUAAUGGCACAAUUAGAAAAAUUAGUUAUUAACAUUUUUAAGCUUCAAAAAGAACUAGUUGAUACAUAUACAUGUUUUGCAAAGAGACAAUUAUUACCUCAAAAUGGAAGGAGGAAUGAUAAUAAAUAUAAGAAUACUUGGUAAGGAAUUAACUCAUAAUUCAAAAGAUCAAUUUAAAACAAUUUACAAUUUCAUUUAGAAAAUAUACUUUAUAUUUAUUUUUGAAUCUGGAGUUUAAUUAAUUUAUUAGUUAAUUCAUAUUAUGUGAUUUUAUAUCAUUUAUAAUUUCAGAAAAAAACACAUGUAAUUACUAUAGUUUAUAUAAAAUUGUUUAUGGAGUGUUCAAAUACAGUUGGUCUAAAUACUAUGUAUUAUAUAUCAACCAACCAAACUAUGUUAGUUCAGCUAGUAAGAAAUUGAGUCAUUGUUUACAAGAUUGUGACUACAAAUAUCAUUGGCACAUGAGAAUUUCAUUGGCGAAAAAUUCUAAAUAUUUUUGUAACCACUCAUAAAAUUAAUGUGAUCCAACCCAUUUAUGGCUUAAAUAUAUAUAUAUAUAUAUAUAUAUAUAUAUAUAUAUAUAUAUUCUUAAUUUCUUCAAUAUACAUCUUUAGCUGCAAUCAAAAGUUACAGACUUUCCGUUAAUUUAAAAAAAUUGCGCCUUUCAGUAAUUUCCAAUGAACACUUGAAUAGAUUGGAUAAUCUUAUUUUAUUGCCUCGUUAACAUGUUUUGCAUUUUGCAUGAUAACUUUAGUCAGGUAAAUUAAUUGAGAUUAUUGUCAUCGAAUGAUCGAGUUUUUACAGCACAAACAUAAUAUAAUAAGUAGAAUAUAAGGUUGGGCACUUGUUCAAGGAACGUAAAAAUGAAUUCUUCUCUUGAAAAGAGAUGUUUUUAUAUUUUGAGAAAUGUUAGAUUUUGUUUUCUAAGAUUUGUUCUUUAUUCUUAAACAAUAUAUAAUAAUUCAAUAUUGAGUUACUAAAUGCGAAUGAUUGAUAUAAUGCAAUGAGGAGGGAGAAGAGGUUUGUUUGGCUUAUGCAUCAUUUUUAAUGAUUGGUAGGCAUAUUCUAAAAUGAUAUAUUAGGAAAUACGCAGAAGAGUGAAAGAGAGAAUAUGUUGUUGGUUAGAUAUAAAAAGGGAUUAUAUACUUGUUGCGUUGAACUCUGUGCACCGAACUUAUGAAUUUUAGAGAAUAUCUCAAUCCGAAAAAAAAGUAGAGGCAGAAAAAUGGGUAAAGCAUAAGUCAGGUGCGCUCCAAAUACGGAUGAGGAUCUGCUGUCCCUAAUUAUAUCUCAAACUAUGUUUUUUAUCAAUUACAAUGAAAUAAAUUUGAUAAAAUUAUGAAUAUUUAAUUUUUUUAAUUGACGUGACAUAAUAGAAUUGGUAUGGUCCUUCUCCAUCCAAAUACUCCUGGGAAGAAAAUUGGUUCAGACCAAUCUGGUCCAAUUCAUUUAAAACAAAUCAUGUUGAUUCUAAAAACUAAAAUUUAUCUCAUUCUUGUUAAUAAAAAAUCUAAAAUUUAUAUUUUAUUUUCCUCACUAAUGACAAACACGGGUAAUACAAGCAGAAAAUUUACAGUAGUAAUAUAGUUUAACUACUUUAUUACACAUUUAGUGUAACUUCUUAGUUUAUUGUCAACAUAAUACACUUUUACAUAAGUCAUGUUUCAUUUAUGCAAUUUUUAGAUAGAAUUGUCACUAACAUGCACAAGUUUGGUGUACUGAUUUAAUUUUUAAAACUCGUGAUUAUAAUCUACGAUUAUCCCUUUUUUAUAGUGGUUAAUGUUUCGAAUGAUAAGACAGAGGUUCAAGGUUCAACACUCGUUAAAUUGCAUUAUAUUUAUUAUCAAAAUUUAUACAUUUUUUAGAUUAUACAUCAAAAUAUAAUUCAGUAAAUUUCUUAUUAAUAUCUUUUAGUUAUUUGCAUUGAAGUAGGAGGUGUGAUUAUGAUUUUGCUGUACGACUAAAAUAAAAGUGUAUAAAAUUUGGUAGUUCUUAUGUGAAUAAUAUAUAUUGAAGUUAUGACUAAAAAAAUAAACAAUGAAAUGAGGAGGUGUAGAAUUUUGGACCUCUACUUUAUCAUGUGAAGCACUGACCAUUAUAUCGGUACAAAACUUCAUGAAUAAUAUACAGUGAAAACUGUAUUUGAUGAAUACAAGUUUAAAAUAAAUUAAAAAAGAAAAAUCCAACCAUGAGUUUUAAUAAAUUAAAUUAAUACCCAAAACUUAUAUACAUUAGUAACGAUUUUAUUUAAAAAUUGUACAUAUCAAACAUAUAAAAGUGAGAAGGACAGCCCCCACAAACAUCUCUAAUUUUCUUCUAUUAGAAUAAUAAUAACAUGCAUUUGGACUCUAUCUAUUUUGCUUUUCCAUUUUUCCAUGUUUCAUUAUAAAAGAAAGACCUAUCUCUCAUAUUAUGUUCAUCAUUUUUACUUGGUUGUUAUUUAUUAUUCAUUAUUUAUAUUUAUAGGCAUUCUUGUAUAAAAGGACAUUAAUCUUAAUAUACUUUUAAAGUUUUUAAGGUUUGUGAAUAUCGUUGGGAGGAUAAAUAUAAUUUUAGAUGUUUCAUUUUUGUUUCAAAUAAACUUGAGAUUGCUUUUAUUUUGUUUUGUCCUAAUUAUACAUUUACAGGUUCAACAUUUGUCCAAAUUAAAGGACAAGUUUAAAUACAAACAUUAACUCUGUUAAUAUUUAAAGAUGUAUGAGGAAGAAGUCUUGUAUGUCCAAUUCCCAACCCCUCUUUUGACAAAUCAUCGCAUAGCUUAAUUGGCUUACAUAAACAAUUUCAUCGUAUUUCAAAUCAUAUAUUAUGUAUCUCUAUAAAAAGAAGUGCAUUGUGACGAAAAAUAAUGUACUUGAAGUUGCAAGGAAGUUUCAUUGAAGGAUCUAAUGUAAGUUCAUGCAUUAAUUUAUCUUUUUCCGUACCUUAGUAGUAAAAUACUAUUAAGAAUUAAUUAACUCGACAGUAACUAAUAGAUAAAAUAACAAACUAAUAAGGAGGUAUUAUAAUAAGUUAGUAUCAUCUCUAAUAGAAGAUAAAUGCUUUAAAAAAUAAAGAAAAAUAUAAUUUUUAAUAAUAUAUUUAUCAUUUUAAUUAUAAUAAAAGUAUACUUGCAUCUUUAUAAUAAAAAAAUCCUUGUUCCUACUGUACAUGACUAUAACAAUGCUAGAUUUUUAUGUAAGAUGUAAAGUAAAAUGAUAAUGUUCAAUUAUUAAAAGUGAUACUUAUUAGAAAAAUAGUCCAAAAAAAUAUUAGUUAUUUAUCAGUGUAAUGAGGGGAUAAUCUCAAUUUGAAGUAUAUAUAAAACAACCUAAUAAGUAUACUUGAUAUAAAGGAGUUUUGCUAAUCACUAUCCUAAGGGCACUAGUUAAGCAACAAAAAAGAAUUAAAUUUUGUUCGAAACAUUGCAUUAGUUAUUCAUCUAUAAGACUCGAAUCCGAAAUCUUACUUAAAUGUUGAUUCUUAAUAAUAUACACACCAUUUUUUAUAUUAACUUAAAAUUUUUAGUUCCUUAAACAUUGCUUUAAGAGUAAUGGUUUGUAAAACCCAUAAUAAAUAAAGGGUAAUGUUAAGAAGUGUUAUAUUUUUUUUAAAAGAAAGAAAAAAAAAUUUAUACGUUUAAAAAAUGAAAGAAUAAAAUUUAUUUUUGAAAAUUAAUAUUUAAUAUAUCAAAAAAUAAUGAUUUAAUUUUCAAUAGUGAAUUCUUUUUUUUAGUAUUCUUUAAACCUUGCUCUCAUAGUCUCAUUGCACUUCCUUACAUAACCCUUAAGUAAAGGGUUGAAAAAUAAGCUUUGAAAAAUUGUAUGGUCAAAUUAAACUGCAAAUGUUCUUUUGAUAUCCAUACAUAGUGAUAAUUCAGACAAUGGAGAGUGAGGAAAAUGAAAUUAUAGAUACGUAUUCCUCACGCAACCAAAUGUAUGGCUCUCUCUUAAAUUCCAUUGAACUUGCAUCAAUGAUUAACUCAUGAUUUUCAACAUUUUCCGUGAACUAGUGUUGGUGGUAGGGACACAUUUCUGAUUUUGGAUUUUUCUGAUACUAUCCGUUGUCCAAAAUGGUAAUGAACUAAUUCAUUUUUGGUGUAUGAAUGUCUCUCUCCUAACAAAUAUUCAUCUCUAAAUAAGUGUCGUUUCAUGAACUGAACCCUAUAUUUUUUAGCCAUCCUGAGAAUUUAACGGACUUUAUACAAUUAGACCAAUACAUUGUUGAUUGAUUUUACACUUUGUUUACCACUUUACUAAAUCUUAAAGAUAUUUUAGAUUUGGUUUUGUAUCUAUUUGUUCUAUAUAAAUAGGACGGCCUCUCUCUCUUAUAUUCAACAUACACAUCACUUAUAUCAUAGUGAAAACGAGCCAACAUUCAGAAUAUAUAAUCAUGUAAGAGUUUAGUUUGAACAAUGAUAGUUUGGUGGCAUAGAACAUUGAUAAAACAGAAAUAAAAUAGAAGUAGAUCUAACUUAUGAAUCUAUUACCAAAAGUUUGUGGGUGUAUGGUAUUUAGAAUAAAAAUAUACCCAAAACCAGACAAAUUUAAGUACAACAACUUGUGUUAGAAACCUGUAGAAGAAAAAACGUAGAACAUGCCUACAUAAAGACAAUGUAACUUUCCUUUUAAACAGCUAGUAGACAAUAGACAAUUAUGAAAAGUAGUAAUGAAAUAUAUUAUUUUAAUGUUUGAGGGUGACAAUCUUUUGAGAUUCAAUUAUGAGCUAAAAGAUAUCUCUCAUUUUAUGUGAUAUUCCAUAUAUCACCAUUUUAUCACAGUUCACCAAAUUACUUUCUUUUUAAGUUAGUAAUUAUGUUUUCUACGAAAAUAAAGUUGUAUCACAUAAAAUGGGACAAUUGAAAAGAAAACAUGGUGUAACUACUCAUGAUGUAAAAAUAAAGACAAAUAAAUAUAAUAUAAAGUACCCUUAAUGAAAAUUAUAAUGUAAAAUACAUUCAAUAAAAUAUAUUCUAAUUCAACAAAAUAAAAUUUAUAAAACUUAAAUAUUUGAUACCAAAAAUUAGAAAAUAAAAAUGUAAGUUAACAAGCACGAAGUGACUGUUACCACACUAAUGUGGAUCUAUAAUCAUGAAACAACAAGGUGAGUUUGAGAUGAAAUUGGGAAUAAAGUAUUAUAUGAUUUGUUUUAGUCUGAUAUUGUGGUAGAGUGAAGUAAAAUCAUUAUAAAUUGACCUAGUCACUUAAAUCAGCCGAGUGAAAUUGUGAAAUUUCAUUUUUUUUAUAUAAAAUUAAUUAGAUAAGUGACUCAGAUAGAUCUAAUACUUGGUUCACAGUUCAACGAGUCACUCGAAGCUGAUUUUUAUAUCAUUACUCUUCAACCAUUUUGUUUGUUUCUUACUGGGGAGAAGGAUAUGAAUUUUCUCCAGCACUGAGCGAAGAUUAAACAAGCUGCAGAAAAAAAUCAUAAUGACCAUAAUUUUAAGUUUUUUAAUAACAAAUUAAAAAGAUUUCCCUUAUCCUAAUGUUUCACUACCACCGGAAAAGAGCUUGGGGUAAGUUUUUUGUGCUAUUAGAUAUAUUUCCUCACUUUGUGAGUACUUAACUAAUCUCUUUCGAAAUGUGUGAUUGUCCUUCCCAAUAAUCGAACCCUUAACUUUUGGUCAGUAUGAUGAUCAAUGUCGUAUUUUUUUAUUGUUGCUAAGUUGUGCAAUUACUAGUUGUACUUUUUUUAGGUACAGAAUUACUAGUAGUACUUUUAUCCCAACUCGUUUUUUUUUUCAUAUUUCAAAUCUCCCAUUUUUCAUUAUUUGAUUCUGUUGUGGGCUUUAAAAUAAGUAGAAUUGAAUUAAUUGGGCCUCCAUCAAAACGACACAGACCCAUUAGAGAGACGAAAAAAGGAUAUCCCUUUUCAGUUUUCACAUUCUUCCUUUUUCGAACUUCAAUAAAUAUGAAAGUUGCAGAGUUUAUCCAGAACCCACAACAGAGUUAAUUACUCAAUUUGACUCUUCACUCUACACUCUCUACUUCAUUUUUGUCUUCUCUCAAGGUAACAAUUCCUUAUCUUAUCUUAUCUUGUAAUUAUUUUCAUUUUUAUGUCUUAGGUUGUUGUGUUGGGUUCUAUUUUUUAUAUAAUUUUAAGUGGGUGGGUUUUAAAUGAUGUUUUAUGUCUGGUGGGAUUGAAAAGUUUGUAACUUUGAAGUAAUUUGAUUAAUUCUCCACUCAGUUUGCAUUGUGUUUAUGCUUGCUUAUGAAAUUAUAAAUAUUUGUUCUUUGUCACUUUCUCUUGAUCUUCAAAGUUUGGAAACUGGGUUAAUGGGUGCAUGAAUUAGUAUUGCUUGUUUGAGGGGUGUUUUGGUCUUAUUCAAUAUGUGAUGCAGCUCAAUGGUUUUUAAAUUGGAAUGAUCAUUGUUUGCCAUGGUGGUGAAAGUGCCUUCAUGAGUUACACUUAUUUGGAGGUUAAUGUAAUUAGUCCAUGGCUUUUGUUACUUGCUUGAUGAACUUGUUAUAUAUAGUUCCACUAACUAAUUGUGAGACUAGGUGGUUAUCUAGGAUUUAUUGAAUUUAAUUAUCAGAUAGUUGUUCUUAUAUCACUAUUUGUUAGUGGAGAAAACCCGAUACAACAGGUAGUUAGUGGAACUAUCGAAGAGAACUAAGUUUUUUUUCUCAUUAUCUGAAGUGAAAUUCAAAUGAAAGGCUUUUAGUUCUUUUUCAGGAACGUGUCAACAGUAUUUAAAGGAACCUCAGAUGGCUCAGUUACUAUCAUCUUCUUGCUCCGUGACGCUCUCCUCUAGAAACAAGCCUUACUUAAAAUCUUUUGAUCAUGGUUCGGCUUCAUUUUCUUGCAAGAAUUCCACAUCUCCAUUUAGAAGGCUUUUCUUGCAAGAAAACAAGCCAAGAAAAAGUUCUGUAGUAGUACAUGCUACUUCAGUUUCAACAAGCCGGGAAGCCCCAGUUCAAACUAGCUCUGGCGACCCUUUUAAACCAAAGCGAGUGAUUGUCAUUGGUGGAGAUGGUUAUUGUGGUUGGGCAACUGCCCUCCACCUGUCUAACAAGGGUUAUGAGGUUGCCAUUGUUGAUAGCCUUGUUCGACGACUCUUCGAUCACCAGCUUGGACUUGAUUCUUUAACACCAAUUUCCUCCAUCCAGAAUCGCAUUCAACGUUGGAAAUCUCUCACUGGAAAAAGUAUUGAGCUCUACAUUGGUGACAUAUGUGACUUUGAGUUCUUAUCUGAAACCAUCCAGUCAUAUGAACCUGAUGCUGUUGUGCAUUUUGGGGAACAGAGAUCUGCUCCUUACUCUAUGAUAGAUCGGUCAAGAGCUGUGUUUACACAGCAAAAUAAUGUUAUCGGGACACUCAAUGUGCUCUUUGCUAUAAAAGAGUUCAGAGAGCAAUGUCAUCUGGUUAAGCUUGGAACUAUGGGUGAAUAUGGGACUCCAAAUAUUGACAUUGAGGAAGGUUUUAUUACCGUUACUCACAAUGGAAGGACAGAUACUUUACCAUAUCCCAAGCAAGCAAGCUCAUUUUAUCAUCUUAGUAAGGUGCAUGAUUCACAUAACAUAGCCUUCACUUGCAAGGCUUGGGGGAUUCGAGCAACCGAUCUGAAUCAAGGAGUGGUAUAUGGGGUAACAACAGACGAGACUGCAAUGCAUGAAGAGCUGGUUAACAGGUUUGAUUAUGAUGGAGUAUUUGGAACUGCCUUGAAUCGAUUCUGUGUUCAGGCUGCUGUUGGUCAUCCACUUACCGUAUAUGGUAAAGGAGGCCAGGUAACAUACCCAUCUACUUGUUUAUCUCUUAUUGGUUAGUAGAAGAGUAAUUUUCUUUUUCUACGGCUUGCAAGGACAUAAACAACUUCAUGUGAUUUUUGCUAUAUUAUUUUGGUAACUUCAGAUAGAGUGGUUUAUAUCUUUUUUUGCUUUAUUUUUUAUAGUUCUCUUCUUACAUUAGUUGAAUUAAUACUUGUCUGUGGGAGAAAUCUAUGAAAUGCUCUUCUGCUAAUAUUUUGUUUGUAUUUUUUGGAAUGUGCAAAUUUCAGACUAGAGGCUACCUUGACAUAAGAGAUACAGUUCAAUGUGUGGAGCUUGCCAUAGCAAACCCUGCAAACGCCGGGGAGUUCCGAGUCUUUAAUCAAUUUACUGAGCAAUUUUCAGUCAAUCAACUUGCCAGCCUUAUUACAAAUGCAGGUGAGAAGCUAGGCCUCGAUGUGAAAUCUAUAUCAGUACCAAACCCAAGAGUAGAGGCAGAGGAGCAUUAUUACAAUGCCAAGCACACUAAACUAGUUGAGCUGGGACUGAAGCCACACCUUCUUUCAGAUUCUCUCCUUGAUUCCCUGCUCAACUUUGCUGUUCAGUACAAAGAUCGCGUCGACACAAAACAAAUCAUGCCUAGUGUUUCUUGGAGAAAAGUUGGGGUCAAAACUAAAACUGUAACAAACUAAAGUGGGUUCAUUAUGGCUGAUAUAACUCUAUGAUGACUCUUCUGGUGAUAGGUUAUUCUGCAUUGCCUUGAAUAUUUCAAGUUGCUCUAUUCUAGGAUUUAUGUAACCUUAUAUAGAGUAAAUCUUUGUGCUUCAAAGUGCUCUCUACCAUGAGAGCCAUGUGUGUGUAUUGCUGUUUUGUCUAUUCUAGCAUAUGGAAGUAUUUAUUGUUCUACACCCAAAUGUAUUAGUGAAAUGGGUAACAUGGCAAAUAAUUAUUCUAAUUUUAUUUUUUUAGUAUGUUUUCAUUUGUUCAUGUACUAAUUAAAAUUUCAAUUAAUGCAUCAAAAUUUGUAUUGAAUUAUCCCAAGUCAAAAUAUUAAACCACUUGCAUUCAAAAUAUUAAACCAAUUUCAAAUUUUCAACAACUAUCCAAUAUGAUGAUAAUCCCAACUAUUUGGAGCAUGAUGAGCAACAUUAGUUGAACAUGACUCAAUUUAUCUUCCCCACAACAUUCAUAUUUCCGAAAGCUCUAAUUAUUAUUAUCAAUCUCAACCAUUCUUAUUAAUGGUGGUUGGGUCUAACUCACUUCAAAAUUUGAGUGAGGAGAGUUGUCUAAGACUUAUAAAAUCUACCUUAUGUUAUUACUCAUGGGAUCUCAAUAAGAUUAUCACUUUUCACCAAUUGAACAUUUUCUAUUCCAAAAAGUGUAUCACUUUAUGUGUACAACUACUUAUAAUUGGUCAAAAAAUACUUAAUUUUUAAAAUUUUAAUUAUAAUACGUUUUUUCGACCAAUCUUCAUGUCACACUUUAUGGGAUAACAGAUGUACUUUUGCGAUAGGAGGCUAGGAUCUCUCAUAGUAGAAACAUUAAGCAAAAGCCCAAAAACUUGAAAAUGUACUUAAAUGGGCUAAAGCCCGUAGUUUGAAGCCCAUGGCCCAAGACAAUCCUUAUACCCUGAACAUGUGGUUUGGAAUCAUCAGCGACAAGCAGCCACCAUGAGCGCUUUGAAGGAGCUCCGUCGUCCCGUUGCAGCGACAAUCCGUCUCACCGUCCCAGCCGGAGGAGCUCGACCUGCUCCGCCGGUGGGACCGGCACUCGGUCAAUACCGUCUCAACCUAAUGGCGUUCUGCAAAGACUUCAACGCGCGAACACAGAAGUACAAACCUGAAACGCCGAUGGCAGUUAAGAUAACGGCGUUCAAGGAUAACACAUUCGAAUUCACCGUUAAGACGCCGUCGGUGGCUUGGUACCUGAAGAAAGCGGCGGGGGUGGAUUCAGGUAGCGGUAGGGCGGGUCACGUGACCGCGUCGACGCUGUCGGUGAGGCACGUGUAUGAGAUCGCGAAGGUAAAGCAAACUGAUCCUUAUUUGCAGAAUAUGAAUCUUGAAUCGAUUUGUAAGAACAUUAUUGGCACCGCUAAUAGCAUGGGGAUUCAGGUUGUUAAGGAUCUUGAUUAAUUCAUCAAAUUGAGUUGAGUCAUGGUUUUUUUUAAGUGUUUAUUUUAGUUUGUAUUUGAAUUGGAAUUUGAGAUUAAUGAAACUUUUGUUUUUGCACUAUGUGUAAUGAGUGACAUAGAAAUGCUAGAUUCUAUGAAAAUAAUAUGAACCCUAUGGUUGCACUUGGUUUUUGUUCUACCAAAGGUAUCCUUUCGUGCUGCAUGGUCCACCAAGUACUGCUCACAGGACUCGAAUAUUUGACUUACUUCCAGCAUUUGGUAGAACUUGUAGAAUAUAUGUUAUGUUUGGUUUAUUUUAUAAAUAGAAUAGUACAUGAGAUCAUAAAGUGAAACAUGUUAUCUAUGUCCCAGGAUAGAACAUUUCAUUCUGGUUUCUUUUGUUAGGAUGCCAAACACAGCCUUUGUGUUCAUUGAUGGUGUGUACUGUGUAGUGUUUCAUUCCUUGAAGCAGCUUCAACGCUUGUUGGAUAAGCUGUAUAUAUCUUACUAUCCCUAUAUACCACGAAGUCUCCUGUAAUGGGCUAACACUAUUCUAACCAAUGUUGGAACAUGAGGUGAGUAAAAGUUGAGAUUUUGCAUUUCAACUUGGUACAAAUCAUUUGAGUUUUGUUUAUGAAUGUUGAUAAUUAUAUAUGGUUUAUCUUUUUUAUAACAUUUCUCUGACAUUUUGGACCUUUUCUUAUUAUUGUUCUAAAGCAAGCAUGCAAUAUAUUAGAUUUAACUUUUAGUUGUUGCUCUCAACUUGGUGUACUGCAUUUAAGCAAAAAUAUUAGUUUGCGGGUUUUUUUUUGUGUGGUUAUUUUGUUUGCUUUUAGGAAUAGAAUGGCAAUUUGGAUAUAUUCAAAGUAUAAAAGUUCCACAUUGGAUAAGAUGAUACAAGUGAAAGAUAGGAGUUGCCUCCAUUGGCCAUGUCUUUGGUUCCUCCAUGACCAACCACUAUUGCCGCUAAUUGUAGAGAAUUAAUUUUACACCUUAGUUUUGUAAUCCAAUUCAUCAUCCAGUUUUGUAAUCCAACAUUUUUUCACUGAACGAAUGUUGAUGAGAUUAAGCUACACUAUUAAAACCGUGAUUCAAUAAUAAUGAUAUAGUUCUGUAUAGUAAAAUAUAAUGAUAUUUAGCUCUAGUUUUUUUCUCCCUAAGGGUUCAAUAAUAAUAAACAAGCAUAGAUAAAAUAAUAACUUAACAAAUGCUCAAGAUUGACAGCCAUUUUAAAAAUUAAGACUAUAUUUAAUGGUCUAAUUUAUAUUAAGACAUUUAAAUAAAUCACAAGACCUACUUCUAAAUAGGUCAUUGAACCUACUUUACGAAAUUUGACCAAUAAUGAAUUGCUAAAAAUGAAAAUAUCAUAGACUCCAAAGAUUCGAAAAAAUAUUAAAAAAUAGAUGACUGCACAAGUAUAACAUAUGGUUCUAUGAGUGUGGUAAAUGAAUUUCUUAAUUGUUUAAUUUAAGUCAAGCAAACAAUUUUCCAGGGAAAGUAAAAGUAUUAAGACAAUACUUUGCAUAUGAUGCUUCCGUAAUUCUUUGGAAAUGGGAACUCAGCAAAAUACAGCAUCUGCUUGAAGCCCUUGUGGGAAAAUAUACAGUGCUUAUUAUAUUUUAGCAUGGAUGGAGGAGGGAGAUUUGUUCUUUUUUUAUAUAUUACCAACAAUAUUUCUCACCUUUUUAAUGAUCUAAUCUUUUUCGGGUUUGCUCAUCCCAAUAAAUAUCGCUUACAGGAAUCGAACUAUUGACCUUUGGGAUCCAGUGAGACUUACAUUACUUGACUAAUAUCUUGUUGGUGGAAAAAAUUGUAUUUUUGAAGAUGAUAAAAAGGGACAAUAAUUUAUUUAUAGUAACAACAAUCAAAGUUUAAUCUUAUGAUCAAUUUAUUUAUAAGGUCAAAUUAAAUAGUUUAUAAUUUAUCCCAAAAUGAUUACAUACAAAAAAAAAGAACAAAAAAUACUUGCUUUUUCCCCCAGAAACUUGGAGUAGCUAUACCAAUCAAUCCAAUAACCCACUAUUUUGUGAAAGUCUUGAAAGAUUUAUCCAACACAGACUUUAUUCUUUAAAGAUGGAAAAUAUAUUUAGAGAGAAGGGACGUAAUUUUUAUGGAGAAUUUAUUUAUAGGAAGAAACAGAUUGUUAAGGAGAAAAUAAGUUUUUACUUUUUACAUAGAGAAACGUAAUUUUUCAAAGGCGAUGAACUUACUUUCAUACUAGUAUUGAGUGCGUGCCACCGAACGGGUUGAUUUUUUCCACAAUUGUUCCAUUGAUUACUCAUUAAUUACAAAAAUAUAUUAUAUAGGAAAUAUUCAUUUUAGUCUCCUAAAUUUUUCAACCUUAUAAAUUUGGUAUUCAAAUUUUGACAACUCAAAAUUGUUUCAUAAAUUUUAAAUGUGGGUCAAAUUAGUAAUUUUUAUCAUAUUUUAUAACAUCUAGUAUAGAUAAAUUUGACAUACAUUUUAAAUUUUUGGGAAUCAUUUUAGUUUUUCUCAAAGGAAUAAAAUCUAUAUGUUCGAAAAAUAUGAGAGACUGAAAUUAACAUUUACUCUCUAUUAUAAAAAUUUUCACCAAUGUUUUUUUUAACUAUUAAUGGAGUAUAAUAGUUUUGAAAAUAUUUUAUAUUUUUAAUGCCCGUGCCCUUUUAGUCUUAUAUUAUCAAAAAUUACGUUUUGGAAAUGAUUAAUGGUUUGAAGGAAUUUAUGUUUAAGUCAUUGUACAUGGUUAGCCCCAUGUUUUUAGGUAUUCAAAACCUAAUCAAGGAGAAUUGAGAUAAAUGUGUUUGAGUUUUGUGGUAAAUGUUAAGUACCAAAAAAGGUACAUGUUAGUAGAAAUAUAUUCAAAAUAUAUAAAAGGGAAUCAUAUUUUGAGAGGUGGAGCCAUAUGUUUUAGAGAGAAAUAUCCACCUAUUACCUUGAAUUGUGAAUGGAUGGUUCUAACUUCUAACUAAUGUUAAAGUUAGAUUAAACCUGAAACUGAAUUUCUUUUUAAUUUUGGUUAAAGUCAUUUAAUCAGUUAUAUGGUUCGAUUCAAGUUGAAACAAUCAAAAUUGACCCAAAACAGGUUAGACGUGAAUCAAAAGUUAAUCUAACAUAUGAUUCAGCAAAAUAUUAAAGAUUUUAUUUUUAUCAAAAUACAGUAAAUUAUAGGUGGCAAAUGAAUGAAUAUGAAUCAAUUUGAAUUUGGAUCAUAAUGGAUGGAUGAAAAUAACCUAUCCAUCCAUAAAAAUAUAUUUAAAUCAUAUUUUAAAUUAUUCAAUUCAUUCAUAUCUAGUUUUAAUAGAUAAAAUAUAAUCAUCUAUGAGUCCAUUUUCAUGGAUUUAAAUGGGUGAAUAUUCAAUAUAUUUGAUUUUUUUAAUCUAAAUUAAAAGCACUUUCCAAUAAAAUCAUUCUUUUAUAAACAACUAUUUUAAUAAACUGUUUUAAAAUCACUUUUUUAAAUGUAAUUUUUUUAAAAAGUGUUUUUUUAUUUUCUUAAUUUUUUUAGAAAGUGAUUUUUUAAACUUUAAAAAAAAAAGUUAACUCUUCUCAAUAUUCUACGAGCAUAAAAACAUUUAAUGUUCUACAUAUAAUACUUUUAAUAGAUACUUAUAUAUCUUAUGUAUUUAAAAACACACUUUUAGUAUUGACCACAUCCAUAUUCCCUAGAUCUCAAUUUAAUAAAAAAUUAAUCAAAGUGAUAGUGAGAAAAAGAAAGUGAGAAUUGAUACAAGUGAAUGAAAUUGAAAAACAAAGAACCCUAUUUAUGAAUGUUUGUUUUUUGAUAGGUUGAAUAUUCACCCAAAUAUAUCCAUUAGAUAUAAUGGGUGUAUUUAAAUUCAUCCAUUUCUAAAACUUUUUAUUAGAUUAUAUUUAUUUAAAUCCACUAACUUUAAUAAAUAGAUUUUGAUCGAUUUAAUUUUCUUAGAUUUGAAUAGAUUGUGGAUAAUUUUAACAUUUAUGUAAGACUGAGAUUGCAACUAAGAGAGGGUGAAUUAGUUGACUUAAAAUAAUGACUACUUUUUCUGCAAAACCGAGAGUUAAAGUGCAGCGGAAAAUAUAUGCAAAAAAUUAAUAAGUAAAAUCAAAUAGAUAAGGGAGAAGAGAGUACACAAAAUUUUUUAUACUGGUUCAUCUUCUUGUCCACCGAAGGCUACGUCCAGUACUCUUGCGGCAUAAGAGAUUUUUCCACUAAAGAUUAUGAGUUACAAUUACAAUAUCUCACCCCGAGAUUUCUAUGUACCUUACACACUCCUUAAUCAUUAUUCACUUUUGGAAAACACAUUUUCAAGUGAUUCUAAUCCCCUUUCUUAUCACAUCUCGUGAAAGAAAGUAUUAUGCAAUAAUAAUGAAAAAAUGUGCAACAAUGGUGGAAUUGCCUUUUACAAGUAUGAAAGUGAUGUAACUUGCAAUCCAAACAACUUUUUAAUAUACUUAGUAAUAAUGUUCUUUAUAAGUUUGUAAACUUGAAACACUUUCACUUUAAGCAACUUCAUAAAAAACACCUUCGAAAGUUUAAGAACUUGUUGCAAAAAGUGCAGAAAAUAAUUUCAGAAUAUGUGUAAGAGCUUUUGAAAUUUAUAUGAGAGUUGUGUAUAUAUUGUGAGUAGUGAUUGUGAGUUCCAAUGCCUUUAUAUAGAACUUCCAAUCAGCCAAAAUGUCUCUUUGAAAAGGUAGGAAUUGAUUGGAAUGAAAACAUGUAUUUUGGAUUGAAACUCAUCAUUCACUUUGAAUUUGAAAAUCUGAUGCAACAACUCUCAAUAAUCGAAUAUAGCAUUGAGUAAUUGAUUACUCAAGGUUUCUGUCCACUAAUCAUUUAUUGUUAAAUUAGAGUAAUCGAUUACAGCAAGUUGAGUAAUUGGUUACUCAACUUUAAUAACACUAGUAAUUUGUUACUCAAAUACAAUAAUGGAUGAUUUUGAUCAGUUUUAAGUUGGAUAACUCUUUUCUCACACUUGUAAUUUGUUACUUAGAUGAAGUAAUCUGUUACACACUAUUUUUGAAAAUUGUUUUAAAUAUUUUAAAGUGUUUCAAUUUUCUUAAAAAAUAGUUUGAGCAUUACUACUAUUGUAUAACUAAGAGUAUAGGAUAAAAAAACCUAUUUAGACUUAGACUAAAAGGUCUUGAAUAUCUUGAAGCUUGAUUCUUCAUUGUCUUUGUAAGUAUUCUUCCUUUUCUUCUUUUUGGUGAUUUUGAUGUCUUCAUCGAAACCAUACCAAGGUCAGUAGCAAGGUCACAAAAAAUCAAAUUUAGAUUUUUGCUUUCUUAAUUGAAAAUCAUAUCACAAGAAAUUAUGAAUUAUUUUAAAAAUUAGUUUAUCUAAUAAAUAAUUAUCUUUUGAGUUAUGAAUGUAAAUUGUAAACUUAUAUUUUAGACGUAAUAGUUGGUUGUUGACUACUUACUUUGAAACCCCAUUAUUGAAGUUGAUUUAAUUUAUAAUGGGAAGACUUUUUUGUUACAACAAAUUUGAAGACUUUAAUCUUCAUUAUCUUAUCAUACAUGCUAUCAGUUGUCUAUUUUGAUCUAGUAUCUUUUUAUAUUUGGGCUUUGGCACCUUUCCUUUCUCCAAAGAAACUAUAAUCCCUAACCACCAAAACAGAAAGUUUCAAAAAAAGAAAACCCUAACUAUUUCUCUCCCUAUAAAUACAAUUGCCAAGAAAGUUAUUUGCAUUAAGAAAAGUUACAUACUCUUCUCUUCAACCUCUCUCUAUUUUGUGAUCAACAUACAAUAUUCUCUUCUCUUCUUCAAUGGCUGGUCUUCAACAAUAUAACUUUUUCCCCACUGAUCUCUUCUACCCUCGUCCUAAACCACAACCUUCUUCUAAUCCAACGGUGGUGAUUCCUUUGCAAAACCCUAAUACUAAUGAAGACAAGAAUCAACAGCAACAACCACUACCUAGGAGCAUGUUUAAAGUUACCCCUUCUAGUUCUCCUCUUGUUUAUAUUCACAAGAGACAACAAUCUCUUACUAGGGUUCAUAACAAGGUAUCUAAAUUCCCACCUUCUUGGGUUGUUUUUAUGGAUCAAGAACAGGACUCAAAACCUUUUUGAAUUGUUCUUCUUCCUCAAAGGAAUGAGUGAAGGACAUAUUCAUGGAUAUAUAUAUAUAUAUAUAUAUAUAUAUAUAUAUAUAUAUUAUAUAGUUUGUAAAUUAUCUUAGGG